RNAcentral lists this ribosomal RNA (372 nucleotides) under Triticum aestivum (bread wheat). Its description in RNAcentral is "partial small subunit ribosomal RNA". Lineage: Eukaryota; Viridiplantae; Streptophyta; Magnoliopsida; Poales; Poaceae. The record is from RNAcentral.
AUGGCCUCCUCCUCAUGCCCUCGCCCUCAUCCUCCUACUCAAGAGGUCACCGUCGCCUCCCUCGCCCGCAGCCAUGAUCCGAUCUGGCAUUGGCGCCGCAAGACGCCCUCACGACGCAAGUCUCCUCUUGUCUCCUCUCUCAGGACAUCUCUCUCCCCCCGCGGCUCGCUGCCGCCGCCGCCACCGCCACCACUCACGACGGCCAAUUCCAGCGAGUACCGGCGGCGGGUAGCAGAUCAACGACCUCCCCUCGCCCCGCUCCUUCCUCCCAUCCCUCCAGAUCCGUCGCUAGGGGCCUCCCAUGCUCGCUCCGUCGACCUUGCCCACAUGGCAGAUCGCCGCUGCUGGCCGAGGCCGGCGUUCUACCGGUGA